RNAcentral lists this ribosomal RNA (1465 nucleotides) under Prochlorococcus sp. AG-402-N23. RNAcentral's name for it is "bacterial SSU rRNA". It matches the Rfam family "Bacterial small subunit ribosomal RNA". Lineage: Bacteria; Bacillati; Cyanobacteriota; Cyanophyceae; Synechococcales; Prochlorococcaceae. RNAcentral also lists the same sequence under 1 other name. The record is from RNAcentral.
AGAGUUUGAUCCUGGCUCAGGAUGAACGCUGGCGGCGUGCUUAACACAUGCAAGUCGAACGAACCUUCGGGUUAGUGGCGGACGGGUGAGUAACGCGUGAGAAUCUGCCCUCAGGAGGGGGAUAACGGUUGGAAACGACCGCUAAUACCCCAUAUGCCUACUGGUGAAAUGAAUUUUGCCUGAGGAUGAGCUCGCGUCUGAUUAGCUAGUUGGUGAGGUAAUGGCUCACCAAGGCUUCGAUCAGUAGCUGGUCUGAGAGGAUGAUCAGCCACACUGGGACUGAGACACGGCCCAGACUCCUACGGGAGGCAGCAGUGGGGAAUUUUCCGCAAUGGGCGAAAGCCUGACGGAGCAACGCCGCGUGAGGGACGAAGGCCUCUGGGCUGUAAACCUCUUUUCUCAAGGAAGAAGAUAUGACGGUACUUGAGGAAUAAGCCACGGCUAAUUCCGUGCCAGCAGCCGCGGUAAUACGGGAGUGGCAAGCGUUAUCCGGAAUUAUUGGGCGUAAAGCGUCCGCAGGCGGCUUUUCAAGUCUGCUGUUAAAGCGUGGAGCUUAACUCCAUCAUGGCAGUGGAAACUGAAAGGCUUGAGUAUGGUAGGGGCAGAGGGAAUUCCCGGUGUAGCGGUGAAAUGCGUAGAUAUCGGGAAGAACACCAGUGGCGAAGGCGCUCUGCUGGGCCAUUACUGACGCUCAUGGACGAAAGCCAGGGGAGCGAAAGGGAUUAGAUACCCCUGUAGUCCUGGCCGUAAACGAUGAACACUAGGUGUCGGGGGAAUCGACCCCUUCGGUGUCGUAGCUAACGCGUUAAGUGUUCCGCCUGGGGAGUACGCACGCAAGUGUGAAACUCAAAGGAAUUGACGGGGGCCCGCACAAGCGGUGGAGUAUGUGGUUUAAUUCGAUGCAACGCGAAGAACCUUACCAGGGUUUGACAUCCUGCGAACCUCUUAGAAAUUUGAGGGUGCCUUCGGGAAUGCAGUGACAGGUGGUGCAUGGCUGUCGUCAGCUCGUGUCGUGAGAUGUUGGGUUAAGUCCCGCAACGAGCGCAACCCACGUUUUUAGUUGCCAGCAUUUAGUUGGGCACUCUAGAAAGACCGCCGGUGAUAAACCGGAGGAAGGUGUGGAUGACGUCAAGUCAUCAUGCCCCUUACACCCUGGGCUACACACGUACUACAAUGCUACGGACAAAGGGCAGCAAACUCGCGAGAGCUAGCAAAUCCCAUAAACCGUGGCUCAGUUCAGAUCGUAGGCUGCAACUCGCCUACGUGAAGUAGGAAUCGCUAGUAAUCGCAGGUCAGCAUACUGCGGUGAAUACGUUCCCGGGCCUUGUACACACCGCCCGUCACACCAUGGAAGUUGGCCAUGCCCGAAGUCGUUACUCCAACCCUUGUGGAGGAGGACGCCGAAGGUGGGGCUAAUGACUGGGGUGAAGUCGUAACAAGGUAGCCGUACCGGAAGGUGCGGCUG